RNAcentral lists this ribosomal RNA (446 nucleotides) under uncultured bacterium. RNAcentral's name for it is "bacterial SSU rRNA". It matches the Rfam family "Bacterial small subunit ribosomal RNA", at positions 329 to 792 of the family's 1533-position model. The record is from RNAcentral.
UGCCAGACUCCUACGGGAGGCAGCAGUGGGGAAUAUUGCACAAUGGGGGAAACCCUGAUGCAGCAACGCCGCGUGAGUGAAGAAGUCAUUCGUGAUGUAAAGCUCUAUCAGCAGGGAAGAAAAUGACGGUACCUGAGUAAGAAGCCCCGGCUAACUACGUGCCAGCAGCCGCGGUAAUACGUAGGGGGCAAGCGUUAUCCGGAUUUACUGGGUGUAAAGGGAGCGUAGACGGCCAGACAAGUCUGAAGUGAAAAUCCAGCGCUUAACGUUGGAAGUGCUUUGGAAACUGCCGGGCUGGAGUGCAGGAGGGGCAGGCGGAAUUCCUAGUGUAGCGGUGAAAUGCGUAGAUGUUAGGAGGAACACCAGUGGCGAAGGCGGCUUACUGGACUGUAACUGACGUUGAGGCUCGAAAGCGUGGGGAGCAAACAGGAUUAGAUACCCCAGUA